This 72-nucleotide transfer RNA is filed under the name Camelus bactrianus (Bactrian camel). It matches the Rfam family "tRNA". From Rfam's summary of the family: Transfer RNA (tRNA) molecules are approximately 80 nucleotides in length. Their secondary structure includes four short double-helical elements and three loops (D, anti-codon, and T loops). Further hydrogen bonds mediate the characteristic L-shaped molecular structure. tRNAs have two regions of fundamental functional importance: the anti-codon, which is responsible for specific mRNA codon recognition, and the 3' end, to which the tRNAs corresponding amino acid is attached (by aminoacyl-tRNA synthetases). tRNAs cope with the degeneracy of the genetic code in two manners: having more than one tRNA (with a specific anti-codon) for a particular amino acid; and 'wobble' base-pairing, i.e. permitting non-standard base-pairing at the 3rd anti-codon position. The record is from Rfam by way of RNAcentral. RNAcentral also lists the same sequence under 2 other names. Lineage: Eukaryota; Metazoa; Chordata; Mammalia; Artiodactyla; Camelidae.
GGGGUUAUAGCUCAGUGAUAGAGCACGUGCUUAGCAUUCACGACGUUGUGGGUUCAAUCCCCAGUACCUCCG